This 396-nucleotide long non-coding RNA is filed under the name Fukomys damarensis (Damara mole-rat). Its description in RNAcentral is "lncRNA (ENSFDAG00000029444.1)". The record is from RNAcentral. Lineage: Eukaryota; Metazoa; Chordata; Mammalia; Rodentia; Bathyergidae.
AAAUUAGCUAUAUGACUAAGAAUUCACUAAUAUUUUACACUUGUUUAGGAUUGCCUUGCUGUGGGAAGCAGUUUCCUCAUGGAAAGUCCCAUCUGCUGUGUUCUUAUUCUCGACUUGUGGAUCUGCCCAUGUACCUGGAGGAUGCUGCAGAGAUGGCACAGGAAGCUGGUGGAUGCGUGUGUGAGGGAUGGAGAUCAUUAAGACCAACAGCACACUGCACAGAAAUCAUCUCUUUAAUCAGAGAAGCUUAAAAACAGGCCAUGGGACUAAGGUGGAGCAGGGCUAUGAGAACCAACAAAUAAAAAAGAAAAAGAAAACGGAAGUCAUUUGUAGAAUCAAAGUAAGGACAACUGCUCUCUCAUCCCCUUUCAUUUCUCCAACAAGCUGAGAGUUCCA